CCUACGGGAGGCAGCAGUGAGGAAUAUUGGUCAAUGGGCUUACGCCUGAACCAGCCAAGUCGCGUGAGGGAAGACUGCCCUAUGGGUUGUAAACCUCUUUUGUCAGGGAGCAAUUGGCGCUACGUGUAGCGUUAUCGAGAGUACCUGAAGAAAAAGCAUCGGCUAACUCCGUGCCGGCAGCCGCGGUAAUCCGGGGGAUUCGAGGGUUAUCCGGUUUUAUGGGGUUUAAAGGGUGCGUAGGCGGAAUGCCAAGUCAGCGGUAAAAGCGCGGGGCUCAACCUCGCUCCGCCGUUGAAACUGGCGUUCUAGAGUGGGCGAGAAGUAUGCGGAAUGCGUGGUGUAGCGGUGAAAUGCAUAGAUAUCACGCAGAACUCCGAUUGCGAAGGCAGCAUACCGGCGCCCAACUGACGCUGAAGCACGAAAGCGUGGGUAUCGAACAGGAUUAGAUACCCUGGUAGUC
This 460-nucleotide ribosomal RNA is filed under the name uncultured bacterium. RNAcentral's name for it is "partial 16S ribosomal RNA". It matches the Rfam family "Bacterial small subunit ribosomal RNA", at positions 338 to 795 of the family's 1533-position model. The record is from RNAcentral.